UGAGCGGAGAAAGUCCCGCAGCGGAGUCGGCUGCGAGAUGAUGGGGGGCUCCUGCGCACUGGACUUGGGGGUCCUCCUUGGGGCGGCAGUGCUGGCGGUGCUGGUCUCCCCUCCGGAGGUGCUGGGCGUGGAGGAGCCGCCAGAGCAUUUCCUCUUCCAGAGGAAGUCCGAGUGCCACUUCUCCGCCUCCUCCAACGGGACGCUCCAACGCAUCCGCCUCCUGCAGAGGGACUUCUGGGGCCGGCAGGAGCUCCUCUACUUCGACAGUGACCAAAGGAGGUUCGUGGCCGUGGCCGAGCUGGGGAAGCGUCAAGCCGAAGCCUGGAACAAGGACAAGAACGUCCUGAGCCGCUAUAGGGCCAACGUGGAGCACUUCUGCCGGCACAACUACGGCAUCUACGAGGGCUUCUCCUCCCGCAGGAAGAUCCAGCCCAAGGUGAAGAUCACACCCACAGAGGAUGACUCCUCAUUGCACAACACUUUGCUGAUUUGCACCGUGGCCAGCUUUUUCCCUCCAAAGAUCGAGAUCAAGUGGUUCAGGAACAGGAAGGAGGAGACCAGAGUGUGGACCACAGACGUCACCCGGAAUGGGGACUGGACCUUCCAGAUCCAGGUGAUGCUGGAGACGCAGCCAGAACGCGGAGAUGUCUAUGCCUGUCAGGUGGACCACACCAGCUUCGAGGGCCCCAUCACCGUGCAGUGGGAGCCACAGUUGGACUCCGCCAAGAGCAAGAUGUGGACGGGGAUUGUGGGGAUGGUGCUGGGGCUGGUCUUUGUGGCAACCGGACUCACCCUCUACCUGAAGAAGAAGAAAGGAGGUCCCUCUUGGUGUCUAAGACGUGCGCAGAGUUCAGCCUAAACAGAGUCAGAAUCACAUCCUGCAUCUCUUGACACUCGUUCAGUCCUUUUAUAUUUGGGAAUAACAGAACGCUCCUUCCGGUUCUGGAUGCCUUUCUCUCUCAGGGUCCAUGUGAUGAACUCUUCAGGUCCAUUUUCCUGCCCACUUGACCAAAAAUCUCACUGCAGCAGCUGACCAAUGCUCCCUCCGUGCAGAGCGAAGGGCCGUUGUGUUACCCACAGCUGGUCCAAAGGGUGCAGGGCGAUCCAUCCCUCAGCCUGCAGCGCUCAUCAGUUAGACUUCGCUGCUCCGUGGGGAUCCCCCGAUGUGGAGGAGCACUUUUCUGUCCCCUCCCUCGGCGACUGUCUGCCUGUCCUUGCUCUGAAGACGCAGAUUUUGGAGGUGACAAGAGGGGCUGGAGAAGACCCUUCGCAGAGACAAAGCCACUCCCUCCAGAGCCCCACAUGUCUUCCGCCUUUCAUGUCUCCUUUAGGGGGGGAGAAGGGAAAGGGGGGUCCUAUUUGGUGUUUUCUUCCAGCUCUGUAAGCCUGGCUGAUCUUUCUGGCACAUGUCUUCUAGAUCUAGAGUCUCGUGCACUCCCUGCUGGGGGUGGGGCCUGAACUGUCCCUUAAAACAACAAAGGAUCUACUCGAUCCCAUAAGGACUUGGUCUUUAAAGCAGGGAAGGGGAAUUUCAGGCCUGGGGUGGGAGGUCAAAUGCGGCCCUCCAGACCUCUCUGUUUGCCCCGUGAAGCUCUCCUUUAGCCACCGUCCCCCGUCCCCAGGCCACACCCCUCACUAGCCUCGCUUUGCCCCCUCCCUGAGAACUUCUGCCUGGCUGGAGCCCCCUCCCCCUCCCUGAUAAUGGCUACUCUUUCUUUGGAGGAGGGAGGGGGAGGGGCAAACCAUCCUCCUAUUCAAAGGUUAAAUUUGCAUUCUGUGCUCCACCCACUUUUGCCUCUGGCCACGCCCACCUCUAGCAUCUGGCCCCUGGAAGGUUACCCAGAAGGGAAGCGGCCCUUGAGUUGCAAAAAGUUCACUUUCAAGGGCUGCAAAAGGCUUGGCUGCUCUUGCGGACUGAUACGGCUGCCACCAGUUCUCUGGGUUACAAGGAAAUUGCCUCACGAUCAGCCUAGUUCGAUGUUGCCUUUACUUUAAUGUCUGCACUGAUCGGCAGCAUCUGAGGGGGGCCAGGGGACGCUUGUGGGUCAGCCCUCUUUCUGCCUGGCCGCCUCCCUCCCCUUCGGAUCCGGAGUCAAUGUCUGGCCACCCACUCCUGGACAAAUGCUGCAAGUCUGAAGCUCCCACUUUCUAGAUGAUUGUGGGGGAAGGACUCUGCAUUCCUCCCCCAGACCCCGAGGAUGAGCCCAAUUUCCAGAGACAGACCUCCUCCUCCCCCCUCUGCUGACAGCUGGUAAUUUGUUAAUUGCUCUGUAAAUAUCCAGCUAUUUUAUGGCAACCACUAACCACUCUGCCCCUGACCCACUUCAGUCUAGCAGCAGAUUUCACAGCCUUGACAUGAUUUCUUCUGAGUUGUACCAAUAAAAAUAUUUUGAACCUCC
RNA transcript from Rhineura floridana, 2399 nucleotides. It is a transcript of the gene named H-2 class II histocompatibility antigen, E-S beta chain-like, with no coding region annotated. Lineage: Eukaryota; Metazoa; Chordata; Lepidosauria; Squamata; Rhineuridae. The transcript has 7 exons. The record is from RefSeq and is a predicted model, not a curated record.